RNAcentral lists this ribosomal RNA (598 nucleotides) under Wakarumbia montana. Its description in RNAcentral is "partial 16S large subunit ribosomal RNA". The stretch from base 378 to 536 matches the Rfam family "Bacterial large subunit ribosomal RNA", at positions 2473 to 2632 of the family's 2925-position model. Lineage: Eukaryota; Metazoa; Arthropoda; Insecta; Coleoptera; Lycidae. The record is from RNAcentral.
CAUGUCUUUUUGAUAAUAAUUUAAGGUCUGAUCUGCUCAAUGAAGUUUAAAUUGCCGCAGUAUUUUGACUGUGCAAAGGUAGCAUAAUAAUUAGUUUUUUAAUUAAGAACUGGUAUGAAUGAUUGGACAAGAAAAUUACUGUCUCUUUUUUAAUUUUUAUUGAAUUUUAUUUUUAAGUGAAAAAGCUUAAAUUUUUAUAAAAGACGAGAAGACCCUAUAGAGUUUGAUAUUCUUAGCUAUUUAAAUAUAGAAUUUUUUUUUGUUAAGGUUUAUUUAGUUGGGGUGAUUUGAAGAUUUAAUAAAUUCUUUAAUAGAAAAAUUAGUGAUUUCUAAAAUAAAAUUCUAUAAUUUGUAAGUUUAAAAUAAAUUACCUUAGGGAUAACAGCGUAAUUUUUCUUUAAAGUUCUUAUUAAAAGAAAAGUUUGCGACCUCGAUGUUGGAUUAAAAUUAAUUUUUGGUGCAAUAACUUAAAAAUUAGGUCUGUUCGACCUUUAAAAUUUUACAUGAUCUGAGUUUAAACCGGUGUAAACCAGGUUGGAUUCUAUCUUUAAAUAAUUAUUAUAUUUUAGUACGAAAGGACCAAAUAUUUAUUAAAUUA